Leptopilina boulardi is the source of this 714-nucleotide long non-coding RNA. RefSeq lists it as uncharacterized. The record is from RefSeq and is a predicted model, not a curated record. Lineage: Eukaryota; Metazoa; Arthropoda; Insecta; Hymenoptera; Figitidae. The transcript has 3 exons.
AACGAAGUAAGUAACAUUUUCAUCGGCAUUCAAUUAUUUUAACGUCAAUAGAAAUGUACAUUUUGACGUAAAAUCAACGAACUCGUUGGAAAAAAAAUUUUGAUUUUUAAUUAACAAAAUUCUAGUUCAUUUGGAUAUUUAAAUUAUUAUUAUGGCCGGAGGAGGAAUGAAAGCCAGAGCACCUAAAAGAAAAUGUGACAAAAAUGGUUGUCAUAAAGCAAGAUCACGAAAUGGAUUUAUUAUUUUCUUUAUGAGAUUAUUGAAAUGUAUGCCCACUGCUUGUGUUACUAGAGUUGCUCAAAUUGCUGGUCGAAAAUGGCAAAAAAUGCCAAAAGAUGAAAAAUGUAAAUUUCUCAAAUUAGCCCGUAAAGGAUCACCGAAAAAAUCAAAUCGAAGACGAAGGAAAAAUAAUUCCUGUAGAUCGGGCUGUAGAUCCUCGUAAUUUUUUUCAAAAUUCCAAGAUUGUAGAAGUGAAUUGUGUGAAACAAAAAUUUGGACGAUUAAAAUUUAACGAAGAGAGUAAUUGAAAAAAAAAUCACUUUUUUUGAAUAUCAUAACACAACAUUCCAGUGUCGAAAAAAUUGUUAUUGUAAAAGUUCCAGUAGUAUCAUUUGUUCAAGGUGAAAGAAAAAUUAAAAUGUUUUUUUUAUUAACAUUUAUCAUUGCUAUAAAAAUUUAGUUUGCUUUUUUGAAUAAAUAUUUCAUUAUGAAGAA